RNAcentral lists this transfer RNA (63 nucleotides) under Urocitellus parryii (Arctic ground squirrel). Its description in RNAcentral is "Spermophilus parryii (Arctic ground squirrel) tRNA". It matches the Rfam family "tRNA", at positions 6 to 65 of the family's 71-position model. Rfam says of the family: Transfer RNA (tRNA) molecules are approximately 80 nucleotides in length. Their secondary structure includes four short double-helical elements and three loops (D, anti-codon, and T loops). Lineage: Eukaryota; Metazoa; Chordata; Mammalia; Rodentia; Sciuridae. RNAcentral also lists the same sequence under 1 other name. The record is from Rfam by way of RNAcentral.
UAUAGCUCAGUUGGUAGAGUGUUUGCCUCACAUGCACAAGACCCUGGGUUCUAAUCCCCAGUA